This is a long non-coding RNA of Scylla paramamosain (green mud crab), 1841 nucleotides long. RefSeq lists it as uncharacterized. The record is from RefSeq and is a predicted model, not a curated record. The transcript has 3 exons. NCBI's taxonomy places the organism in Eukaryota, Metazoa, Arthropoda, Malacostraca, Decapoda, Portunidae.
GAAAUCACAACAGAUUCUGCAAAGAUGCAAAAGAAAUCAUUGGCUUUAUCAUCUCAUGAAUUUCAAUUGCUUUCCUUAAAAUCAUGAAUAAUUACUUUUGAACUAUAAUUUGCUGUUGCUUGUUUUGCAUUAAAAUUUAACUACUAAAUGAAACUACUUUCAAAAGGGAAGAAUUUGGGAAAAGUGUUUGGUAUGAUACAUGUUGAGUUGGGCAGCACAGCACAGACACUAGUAACACUUUUUCAGUGUGGCUAAAACUCACUUAGCUAAGCAGGUACUCAUCCAUUGCAAACCCACAGCAGUAUUCAUAACAUCUAGCUGCAGGUUAAUAAUGCUCUCUCUCUCUCUCUCUCUCUCUCUCUCUCUCUCUCUCUCUCUCUCUCUCUCUCUCUCUCUCUCUCUCUCCAUCCAAGGUGGAAGUGAUGAUAUAAUCAACUGACUUUGAUGUGUUAUCCUUUGAGGGGUUGACCCAAGAUUAUUCUCACAUCACAAAAAUCACAAAAUGCUAACAGAAAUAUCUGGACAAGUCAUUGUCAAGAACAAGCCUUGACACUGAGGACAAUCUUCGAGGAUGAGGACAGCCUGUGAGGAUGAUCAUCUAGGACCAACAGAAGUUACUUCAUACUGUCAGCCAGUAAUUGUGCGUCAUUAUUGGACUGUGAAGGGGCACAAAACACCAAGCCAGCAAAGUCUUCCUGAAGCCAUAAGUUAUAAAUUGACAGUACUGCUACUGUACUUCCAUUGCUGUUCACAUCAAAUCUUCACUGAUUUUCUGACACUAAAUUGUUCAAUAUAACUCAGAACUUUACAGUUACCCCCCACACUGUUUUCUUUACAAAUCAGUGGGGAUGACAGUUCUGUCCUCUACCACAAAUUAUAGCCAGUGUAUUUCAUCUAUCUUUUUCUCUCUGACUCCUUGCUUCCUCCAGCAGUAUCCCCAAAAAGGGGUGGCCACGACAGAAAAGCCUCCACCUCUCCUUAUCCAUACACUCCCCAGUACUCAGCUCAAGUCUCCUGCUCUGCUUUCACCUUUCACACAAGUACUCCAUAACUCUAUACUUCCAUCUCAGUGUCCUUUCUAUCUUGUAAUGGCCCUCCACUUCACUACUAUACAUCUUCACAAGCUGUUCAUGCUUCAUUCUUUCAACAUGUCCAAGCCACCUCAAUGUACUUCUUUUCAUCCAUUCCACUACUUUACAUCUGACUGACCAACCAUUUCUAUCCAUCCAUAUCACAUCACUCAGUCAAUAUUUUCAGGAACUCCUAGAGUAAAACUUAUGCAAAACACUGUCAGGAAGCUGAGGAGGCAAGUUAUCACUCUGGGGAGGCAUCAAGAAAACACCUCAGCAGAAGCCUUCCACCACUAGUUCCCAGCCAAGAGCAUCACAGUGCACCUGUCUGAUGCCCCCUGGAUGGCACUCCGCAUUAAAAGGUCAGCGGACCUGGGCAUUCCACUCCUGCCCGGUCCUAUACAGAAAGCUAAGAAACAGAAUGAUCAGGGAGAUUAAGGCUGCCAAGGCAAGCUAUUAUCCGGACAAGAUACAUCAUCUCAAGCUGGCCAACAACACACAGUGGUAUGCUAGGAUCAAAGCUUUGUGUGGCCUACAAAAGCACACUUCAUCUCUUCCUUGCACCUCACACCUUCCUGCUAAUCUCACAGCUCUGGAGAUUAAUGAUCACUUUGCCGCUAUCUGUCAGACCUUUCCUUCCCUCCACACCACUCCGCUUCCUGCCUAUCUUCCUGCUCCCUCCCCUCCCCCCACUGUCCAGGUGAUGGAUGUUUUAAAGAGAAUACUUAAAUUUAAACCAAGAUCCACCACACCCACUGACCUUCCCAUAAA